GACGAACGCUGGCGGCGUGCUUAACACAUGCAAGUCGAACGGAAAGGCCCUGCUUUUGUGGGGUGCUCGAGUAGCGAACGGGUGAGUAACACGUGAGUAACCUGCCCUUGACUUUGGGAUAACUUCAGGAAACUGGGGCUAAUACCGGAUAGGAGCUCCUGCUGCAUGGUGGGGGUUGGAAAGUUUCGGCGGUUGGGGAUGGACUCGCGGCUUAUCAGCUGGUUGGUGGGGUAGUGGCUUACCAAGGCUUUGACGGGUAGCCGGCCUGAGAGGGUGACCGGCCACAUUGGGCCUGCGAUACGGCCCAGACUCCUACGGGAGGCAGCAGUGGGGAAUAUUGCACAAUGGGCGGAAGCCUGAUGCAGCAACGCCGCGUGCGGGAUGACGGCCUUCGGGUUGUAAACCGCUUUCGCCUGUGACGAAGCGUGAGUGACGGUAAUGGGUAAAGAAGCACCGGCUAACUACGUG
Molecule: ribosomal RNA, 468 nt
Filed under: uncultured bacterium
Lineage: Bacteria
Description: partial 16S ribosomal RNA
Rfam family: Bacterial small subunit ribosomal RNA
Source: RNAcentral